AUUGAACGCUGGCGGCAUGCCUUACACAUGCAAGUCGAACGGCAGCACGGGUGCUUGCACCUGGUGGCGAGUGGCGAACGGGUGAGUAAUACAUCGGAACGUACCUUAUCGUGGGGGAUAACGCAGCGAAAGCUGUGCUAAUACCGCAUACGCCCUGAGGGGGAAAGCGGGGGAUCGCAAGACCUCGCGCGAUUAGAGCGGCCGAUGCCUGAUUAGCUUGUUGGUGGGGUAAAAGCCCACCAAGGCGACGAUCAGUAGCUGGUCUGAGAGGACGAUCAGCCACACUGGGACUGAGAAACGGCCCAGACUCCUACGGGAGGCAGCAGUGGGGAAUAUUGGACAAUGGGGGCAACCCUGAUCCAGCCAUGCCGCGUGAGUGAAGAAGGCCUUCGGGUUGUAAAGCCCUUUCGCGAGGGAAGAAAGCGCACUGGUUAAUACCUGGUGUGGAUGACGGUACCUUGAUAAGAAGCACCGGCUAACUACGUGCCAGCAGCCGCGGUAA
Molecule: ribosomal RNA, 502 nt
Filed under: uncultured bacterium
Lineage: Bacteria
Description: partial 16S ribosomal RNA
Rfam family: Bacterial small subunit ribosomal RNA
Source: RNAcentral